GACAAACGCUGGCGGCAUGCCUAACACAUGCAAGUCGAACGGACAGAACAGGGAAGCUUUUCGGAGUGGAACUGGAAAGUUAGUGGCGGAUGGGUGAGUAACGCGUGGACAACCUACCUUGUAAAGGGGAAUAACCUCGAGAAAUCGAAGCUAAUACCCCAUAAUAACCUUGCUUCGCAUGAAGUAAGGAGGAAAGGCGGCCUUAGCGCUGUCGAUACAAGAUGGGUCCGCGUCUGAUUAGCUAGUUGGUGAGGUAAAGGCUCACCAAGGCGACGAUCAGUAGCCGGCCUGAGAGGGUGAACGGCCACAUUGGGACUGAGACACGGCCCAAACUCCUACGGGAGGCAGCAGUGGGGAAUCUUCCGCAAUGGGCGAAAGCCUGACGGAGCAAUGCCGCGUGAGUGAAGAAGGCCUUCGGGUUGUAAAACGCUGUCCUUAUCGAAGAGAGAGUGUUGUAGUAACUGACAAUACUAGGACGGUAGAUGAGGAGGAAGCCCCGGCUAACUAUGU
RNAcentral lists this ribosomal RNA (510 nucleotides) under uncultured bacterium. RNAcentral's name for it is "partial 16S ribosomal RNA". It matches the Rfam family "Bacterial small subunit ribosomal RNA", at positions 28 to 506 of the family's 1533-position model. The record is from RNAcentral.